RNAcentral lists this ribosomal RNA (500 nucleotides) under uncultured eubacterium clone MT10. RNAcentral's name for it is "bacterial SSU rRNA". It matches the Rfam family "Bacterial small subunit ribosomal RNA", at positions 277 to 774 of the family's 1533-position model. The record is from RNAcentral.
CGAUCAGUAGCUGAUGUGAGAGCAUGAUCAGCCACACGGGCACUGAGACACGGGCCCGACUCCUACGGGAGGCAGCAGUAAGGAAUAUUGGACAAUGGGCGCAAGCCUGAUCCAGCCAUGCCGCGUGAAGGAUUAAGGUCCUCUGGAUUGUAAACUUCUUUUAUAAGGGACGAAAAAAGGGAAUUCUUUCUCACUUGACGGUACCUUAUGAAUAAGCACCGGCUAACUCCGUGCCAGCAGCCGCGGUAAUACGGAGGGUGCAAGCGUUAUCCGGAUUCACUGGGUUUAAAGGGUGCGUAGGCGGGUAUUUAAGUCAGUGGUGAAAUCCUAGAGCUUAACUCUAGAACUGCCAUUGAUACUAUUUAUCUUGAAUAUUGUGGAGGUAAGCGGAAUAUGUCAUGUAGCGGUGAAAUGCUUAGAUAUGACAUAGAACACCUAUUGCGAAGGCAGCUUACUACGCAUAUAUUGACGCUGAGGCACGAAAGCGUGGGGAUCAAACA